GACGAACGCUGGCGGCGUGCUUAACACAUGCAAGUCGAACGGAAAGGCCCUGCUUUUGUGGGGUGCUCGAGUGGCGAACGGGUGAGUAACACGUGAGUAACCUGCCCUUGACUUUGGGAUAACUUCAGGAAACUGGGGCUAAUACCGGAUAGGAGCUCCUGCUGCAUGGUGGGGGUUGGAAAGUUUCGGCGGUUGGGGAUGGACUCGCGGCUUAUCAGCUUGUUGGUGGGGUAGUGGCUUACCAAGGCUUUGACGGGUAGCCGGCCUGAGAGGGUGACCGGCCAAAUUGGGACUGAGGUACGGCCCAGACUCCUACGGGGGGCAGCAGGGGGGAAUAUUGCACCAUGGGGGGAAGCCUGAUGCAGCAACGCCGCGUGCGGGAUUACGGCCUUCGGGUUUGAAACCGCUUUCGCCUGGGACGAAGCGUGAGUGACGGUAAUGGGUAAAGAAGCACCGGCUAACUACGUG
Molecule: ribosomal RNA, 468 nt
Filed under: uncultured bacterium
Lineage: Bacteria
Description: partial 16S ribosomal RNA
Rfam family: Bacterial small subunit ribosomal RNA
Source: RNAcentral